GGCAAAUACAAUUUGGUGGAAGUGCUGAACAGGUAGCAUUGGCAAAGCAAAGGGUUGAUGAAUAUAUUUAUUCUCAGGUGAUACGACAAGCUGGUGUUCAACAGACAGCUCUGCAGAUGUGGUAAAUCUCAAACAGAAAGAGUUGUUAGUUGUAAUGGCAAACAUCUCAAUGGGAAGCUCUGAAGGACAGCUCCUACAAACUUC
This 204-nucleotide unclassified non-coding RNA is filed under the name Hevea brasiliensis (rubber tree). The record is from RNAcentral. Lineage: Eukaryota; Viridiplantae; Streptophyta; Magnoliopsida; Malpighiales; Euphorbiaceae.